GAAGCUGGGGCUGGGUGAGAAAAGAACUUGGGAAAAACCCCAGCACUCUGAUCUCCAGUGAAUCACAGUGGCUCCCGCGCGCCCAGGCGUCUGUCGAACUCCCCGGGUAGCUGCUCCUGAAGCUGGGGUGCAUUCGGUUACAGUUCACCCAGAGUAAGGAGGAGUGAGCGAGGGGGGCCGUCGCAGAGGGAGCCGGGACGCCUCCUGGGACACGGGCUCGUCCUCCCCCACGUCACACGGUGACAACUUCGUGCUGCCACCAGGGCCCAGCAGGGAGAUUUCAACGUCCAGAACAAGACAGGGACAGCGCGGCCGGCAGAAAGCAACGCAAACACAGGUGCAUUUCUCUCUUCAUCCAAAGCAAAUAAGACAAAAGGAGUCGGGCAACUGUUUCCUAGGUGAGAGGGCAGAGCGAGGCGACCACGCAGGGUGUGAAGCCACCCCGGAGAGCCGAAGCCCUUCCGCUGUGCGCAAGACGAGAAAUACCCGGAUGUCAAAACCCAAAGAUGAUUACAUGUGUGCCCCCCAUACACUGCUGCAGGAGUCUACAAAGAAUUCAGGGCCCGGAUGCAGACAUGAUUGAAAUACCAACAUCCUCUAUGAUGGUCGUGUGGCACUCAGGGGAAAUCGAUUUUGGUUUUAAAAAUAACAACCAAGAAGAGUAAAGGACGCUUCGCCCUCUGUCGCAGGUGUGUCCCCGCAGGAUUUCGCAGAGGUUGAACAUGGGGCAGCUGGUGGGGGGCCCACAGGGAAACCACUCCUACCUGCUGCCCAAACUGGCUAUGAACUAAAGCCGACCUAGAAAUAAAGCUUAGAUUUAAAAGCCAACGCAUUAAAAUCAAAGUGCGCCCCCGGGGGCGGGGGCUGCGUACUUCCUCAGGGCACUCCGGCCCAGGCGGCUCUCC
Non-coding RNA from Heterocephalus glaber (naked mole-rat), 905 nucleotides. The record is from RefSeq and is a predicted model, not a curated record. Lineage: Eukaryota; Metazoa; Chordata; Mammalia; Rodentia; Bathyergidae.